GGACUACUGGGGUUUCUAAUCCUGUUCGCUACCCACGCUUUCGUGCAUCAGCGUCAGUAUAACUUUAGCAGGCUGCCUUCGCUAUCGGUGUUCUAUGACAUAUCUAUGCAUUUCACCGCUACAUGUCAUAUUCCGCCUGCUUCAUGUUAACUCAAGACCUACAGUAUCAGAGGCAGUUCGACAGUUGAGCUGCCGGAUUUCACCCCUGACUUAUAAGCCCGCCUACGCACCCUUUAAACCCAAUGAAUCCGGAUAACGCUUGCAUCCUCCGUAUUACCGCGGCUGCUGGCAC
RNAcentral lists this ribosomal RNA (292 nucleotides) under uncultured Bacteroidota bacterium. Its description in RNAcentral is "uncultured Bacteroidetes bacterium partial 16S ribosomal RNA". Lineage: Bacteria; Pseudomonadati; Bacteroidota. The record is from RNAcentral.